AGAGUUUGAUCCUGGCUCAGAACGAACGCUGGCGGCAGGCCUAACACAUGCAAGUCGAACGCUUCAGCAAUGAAGAGUGGCAGACGGGUGAGUAACGCGUGGGAACCUUCCCAGUGGUACGGAAUAGCCCAGGGAAACUUGGGGUAAUACCGUAUAAGCCCUUAGGGGGAAAGAUUUAUCGCCAUUGGAUGGGCCCGCGUCGGAUUAGCUUGUUGGUGAGGUAAAAGCUCACCAAGGCGACGAUCCGUAGCUGGUCUGAGAGGAUGAUCAGCCACACUGGGACUGAGACACGGCCCAGACUCCUACGGGAGGCAGCAGUGGGGAAUAUUGGACAAUGGGCGCAAGCCUGAUCCAGCCAUGCCGCGUGAGUGACGAAGGCCUUAGGGUUGUAAAGCUCUUUUGGCGGGGACGAUAAUGACGGUACCCGCAGAAUAAGCUCCGGCUAACUUCGUGCCAGCAGCCGCGGUAAUACGAAGGGAGCUAGCGUUGUUCGGAAUUACUGGGCGUAAAGCGCACGUAGGCGGAUUUGUUAGUCAGGGGUGAAAUCCCGGGGCCCAACCUCGGAACUGCCUUUGAUACUGCAAGUCUGGAGUCCGGAAGAGGUGGGUGGAAUUCCUAGUGUAGAGGUGAAAUUCGUAGAUAUUAGGAAGAACACCGGUGGCGAAGGCGGCCCACUGGUCCGGUACUGACGCUGAGGUG
RNAcentral lists this ribosomal RNA (699 nucleotides) under uncultured bacterium. Its description in RNAcentral is "bacterial SSU rRNA". It matches the Rfam family "Bacterial small subunit ribosomal RNA", at positions 8 to 753 of the family's 1533-position model. The record is from RNAcentral.